This 200-nucleotide ribosomal RNA is filed under the name uncultured bacterium. Its description in RNAcentral is "partial 16S ribosomal RNA". It matches the Rfam family "Bacterial small subunit ribosomal RNA", at positions 8 to 217 of the family's 1533-position model. The record is from RNAcentral.
AGAGUUUGAUCAUGGCUCAGGACUAACGCUGGCGGCGUGCCUAACACAUGCAAGUCGAACGAGGUAGCAAUACCUAGUGGCAGACGGGUGAGUAACACGUAGUCAACCUACCUUUAAGUGGGGGAUAACUAGCCGAAAGGUUAGCUAAUACCGCAUGUGAUCUUCGAGUGGCAUCACUUGACGAUCAAAGCAGCAAUGCG